Molecule: long non-coding RNA, 1014 nt
Filed under: Apteryx haastii (Great spotted kiwi)
Lineage: Eukaryota; Metazoa; Chordata; Aves; Apterygiformes; Apterygidae
Description: lncRNA (ENSAHAG00000004989.1)
Source: RNAcentral
AUGUUUCCAUUACAAAAGGAGGAGCCAACAAGGAGAGGUGUGCUGCUGGACCUCGUACUAACAAACAAAGAAGGACUGGUUGAAGAUGUGAAGGUCGGGGGCAGCCUUGGCUGCAGUGACCAUGAGAUGGUGGAGUUCAGGAUCCUACGAGGAGGCAGAAGGUCACUAAGUAGGAUCGUAACCCUGGACUUCAGGAGAGCAAACUUUGGCCUCUUCAGAGACAUACUUGGAGGAAUCCCAUGGGUUAGGGCCCUAGAAGGAAGGGGUGUUCAAGAGAGCUGGUUAAUAUUCAAACAUCACUUCCUCCAGGCUCAAGAGCGGUGCAUCCCAAUGAGUAGGAAGUCAAGCAAAGGAGGUAGGAGACCUGCAUGGAUGAGCAAGGAGCUCCUGGCAAAACUCAACCAGAAGAAGGAGGUAUACAGAAAGUGGAAAGGGGGACAGGCCACUUGGGAGGAAUAUAGGAACGUUGUCAGAGUAUGCAGGGAUGCGAUGAGGAAGGCUAAGGCCCAUUUGGAAUUAAAUCUGGCAAGAGAUGUCAAGGACAACAAGAAGGGCUUCUUCAAAUACAUCAGUAGCAAGAGGAAGACUAGGGAAAAUGUGGGCCCUUUGCUGAACAGGGUGGGUGCCCUGGUGACGAAGGAUGCAGAGAAGGCAGAGUUACUGAAUGCCUUCUUUGCUUCAGUCUUUACUGGUCAGGCCAGCCCUCAGGAACCCCAGAGCCUGGAGGCAAGAGAGAAAGCCUGGAGAAAGGAAGACUUUCCCUUGGUGGAGGAGGAUCGGGUUAGAGAUCAUUUAAGCAAACUUGACACCCACAAAUCCAUGGGCCCCGAUGGGAUGCACCCACGAGUGCUGAGGGAGCUGGCAGAUGUUAUUGCUAAGCCACUCCCCAUCAUCUUUGAGAGGUGCUUGAAGACUGGAAGAAGGCCAAUGUCACUCCAGUCUCCAAAAAGGGCAAGAAGGAGGACCCAGGAAACUACAGGCCAGUCAGCCUCACCUCCAUCCCUGGAAAGGUGA